This 497-nucleotide ribosomal RNA is filed under the name uncultured bacterium. RNAcentral describes it as "partial 16S ribosomal RNA". It matches the Rfam family "Bacterial small subunit ribosomal RNA", at positions 28 to 507 of the family's 1533-position model. The record is from RNAcentral.
GAUGAACGCUGGCGGCGUGCCUAAUACAUGCAAGUCGAGCGAACAGACGAGGAGCUUGCUCCUCUGACGUUAGCGGCGGACGGGUGAGUAACACGUGGAUAACCUACCUAUAAGACUGGGAUAACUUCGGGAAACCGGAGCUAAUACCGGAUAAUAUAUUCAACCGCAUGGUUCAAUAGUGAAAGACGGUUUUGCUGUCACUUCUACAUGGCUCCGCGCCGCUUUGGCUAGUUGGUAGGGUAACGGCUUCCCAAGGCAGCGAUGCGUAGCCGACCGGCGAGGGGGAUCGCCGGCAUGAGAGGGGAGACGGGGACCAGGGGCCUGCGGGAGGGAGCAGUAGGGAAGCUGAGGCAACGGGGGGAAGCAUGACGGAGCGGCGGAGCGUGAGUGAUGAAGGUCUUCGGAGCGGAAAACGCUGUUAUGAGGGAAGAACAAAUGUGUAAGGAGCUAUGCACGUCUUGACGGUACCUGAAGAAAAAGCCACGGCUAACUACGUG